This 642-nucleotide ribosomal RNA is filed under the name Streptomyces sp. RNAcentral describes it as "bacterial SSU rRNA". It matches the Rfam family "Bacterial small subunit ribosomal RNA", at positions 77 to 735 of the family's 1533-position model. Lineage: Bacteria; Bacillati; Actinomycetota; Actinomycetes; Kitasatosporales; Streptomycetaceae. The record is from RNAcentral.
CCUUCGGGGUGGAUUAGUGGCGAACGGGUGAGUAACACGUGGGCAAUCUGCCCUUCACUCUGGGACAAGCCCUGGAAACGGGGUCUAAUACCGGAUACCACUCCUGUCUGCAUGGGCAGGGGUUGAAAGCUCCGGCGGUGAAGGAUGAGCCCGCGGCCUAUCAGCUUGUUGGUGGGGUAAUGGCCCACCAAGGCGACGACGGGUAGCCGGCCUGAGAGGGCGACCGGCCACACUGGGACUGAGACACGGCCCAGACUCCUACGGGAGGCAGCAGUGGGGAAUAUUGCACAAUGGGCGAAAGCCUGAUGCAGCGACGCCGCGUGAGGGAUGACGGCCUUCGGGUUGUAAACCUCUUUCAGCAGGGAAGAAGCGAAAGUGACGGUACCUGCAGAAGAAGCGCCGGCUAACUACGUGCCAGCAGCCGCGGUAAUACGUAGGGCGCAAGCGUUGUCCGGAAUUAUUGGGCGUAAAGAGCUCGUAGGCGGCUUGUCACGUCGGAUGUGAAAGCCCGAGGCUUAACCUCGGGUCUGCAUUCGAUACGGGCUAGCUAGAGUGUGGUAGGGGAGAUCGGAAUUCCUGGUGUAGCGGUGAAAUGCGCANAUAUCAGGAGGAACACCGGUGGCGAAGGCGGAUCUCUGGGCC